This 454-nucleotide ribosomal RNA is filed under the name uncultured bacterium. Its description in RNAcentral is "bacterial SSU rRNA". It matches the Rfam family "Bacterial small subunit ribosomal RNA", at positions 340 to 786 of the family's 1533-position model. The record is from RNAcentral.
UACGGGAGGCAGCAGUGGGGAAUAUUGGACAAUGGGCGAAAGCCUGAUCCAGCCAUGCCGCGUGUAUGAAGAAGGCCUUCGGGUUGUAAAGUACUUUCAGCGGGGAGGAAGGCGAUGCGGUUAAUAACCGCGUCGAUUGACGUUACCCGCAGAAGAAGCACCGGCUAACUCCGUGCCAGCAGCCGCGGUAAUACGGAGGGUGCAAGCGUUAAUCGGAAUUACUGGGCGUAAAGCGCACGCAGGCGGUCUGUUAAGUCAGAUGUGAAAUCCCCGGGCUUAACCUGGGAACUGCAUUUUGAAACUGGCAGGCUUGAGUCUUGUAGAGGGGGUAGAAUUCCAGGUGUAGCGGUGAAAUGCGUAGAGAUCUGGAGGAAUACCGGUGGCGAAGGCGGCCCCUGGACAAAGACUGACGCUCAGGUGCGAAAGCGUGGGGAGCAAACAGGGAUUAGAUACC